RNAcentral lists this long non-coding RNA (219 nucleotides) under Elaeis guineensis (African oil palm). RNAcentral's name for it is "long non-coding RNA (EGUI_LNC012635)". The record is from RNAcentral. Lineage: Eukaryota; Viridiplantae; Streptophyta; Magnoliopsida; Arecales; Arecaceae.
UCGACAUCGUGAUGCAGAUAGAUGAGGAACCCUCUUGGAUCGAUCUAUUGGUUGGUUACCUCAAAGAUGGGAUACUACCCAUGAAUCAAAAAGAAGCUCGAAAGGUAAAAUAUCAGUCAUCCAGGUAUCUUCUUCAUGAAGGAAAGCUGUACAAGAGGUCUUAUUCACUGUCUCUUCUUAACUGUCUGCAACUAUCCGAAGUCGACUAUGCAUUCAGGG